ACCCGCCGAACUUAAGCAUAUCAUUAAGCGGAGGAAAAGAAACUAACCAGGAUUCCCCUAGUAACAGCGAGCGAACAGGGACCAGCCCAUCCAUGAACCACCGAGCGGAACCUACACACAGUGCACUGCUCGGUGCUCUUUGGGGUCUUAGAAGCUUCAUAAUCGCCAUCAAUCGCGUCAUGACGAAGUUCCGUUGAAUCGUUCACCAGAGAGGGUGCCAGUCCCGUAGUCAACGUGUCGCGAUGUUGUUUCGCUUUUAAAUAUGAAAGCGUAGCCAUUUCGUCGAAAGCUUCUACAGAGUCGGACUGCUUGAGAGUGCAGUCCAAAGAAGGUGGUAGCUCCCAUCUAAGGCUAAAUACCUGCAAGAGACCGAUAGCGCACAAGUACCGUGAGGGAAAGAUGAAAAAGUACCCCGAAAAGGGGGGUGAAAAGAUCCUGAAAUCAGUAAGGUGGAAGCAUUCAUAGAUACCAUUUACUAUACUAUCGUGUUUUUAACGGUAUAGAUCCAGCACCGAUUCUACAGGUAAGGAGCUACUCGUCACAUGUGCCGAGUCGUACCACUCCCCUACCUAACCGAUCGUGAUAACGCAGCUACCAUCUUAUAUGCGGACGUGCGCAUAGAUGACGCGCGUGCUGGGGAAAUAUCUAUGAAUGACCCGUCUUGAAACACGGACCAAGGAGUCUACCACACAUGCGAGUCGUUGCGCCGUAAGACGCAUAGGCAAAAGAAACCUGAUAAGUAGACAUACUUUCCUUAUGUCCUUUCCGGACAUGUUCCUUAUUAGGUGUACUCUUACUGUUGCAUCUAAUAUUAAUUGUUCCGGUACGAGCAUGUGUGUUAGGACCCGAAAGGUGGUGAUCUAUACCUGGGCAGGGUGAAGCCUGGAGAAAUCUAGGUGGAGGCCCGAAGGAAUGCUGACGUGCAAAUCGCUUCUCUGACCUGGGUAUAGUGGCGAAAGACCAAUCGAACCACCUAGUAGCUGGUUCCCCCCGAAGUUUCUCACAGGAUAGCUGGGACUUAGGCAGUUGCAUCGAGUAAAGAUACUGGUUGUGGUAUCCGGGGAUGCGUAUGUUCUCGGACCAUUGUCAAACUCUGAAUCGAUGUAUGUUAACCCUUGCUUAGAUGAAGGUGUCUACAACAAUGCAAGUCUCAAGUGGGCCAGUUUUGGUAAGCAGAAUUGGCGAUGCGGGAUGAACCGGGUGUUGCGUUAAAGUGUCUAACUGUGUGCUAACCUAGAUCCCAGAAAGGGUGUCACCCAGUAUAGACAGCAGGACGGUGGUCAUAGAAGUCGAAAUCCGCUAAGGAGUGUGUUAUAACUCACCUGUCGAACUGGUAGGCCCCGAUAAUGGAUGACGCUAAAGCACACGACUUAAACGCAACCGUCAAAGCGAUCGGGCUUUGGUCGGGUAGGGGGGCGUAGAUGCAGCAUCGAAGCGUCAGGUGUAAACCUACGUGGAGCAACAUCUAGUGCAGAUCUUGGUGGUAGUAGCACGUAUUCAAACGAGAACUUUGAAGACUGAAGUGGAGAAGGGUUCCGCGUGAACAGCAUUUGUGCGUGGGUAAGUCGAUCCUAAGAAUCAGGGUAGAUCCGUUUUCAUCCGGUAUUCGAAAGGGAAACAGGUUAAUAUUCCUGUACCUUGGUUAGACUCGGAGGCGGUAACGCAGGUAAGCUCGCAGACGCUUGCACUCAUCACGGGAAGAGCCCUCGUCUCUUUUUUAUGUUCAAUAUGCCCUGGAGUAAGGUGACCUUGAGAAAGGGUUACGUGAACAGCAUAGCCCGACUCGGCUUGUUGGGUCCGUUGUAUGAGGAGUAAGCCCUUGAAAAUGCGAGGGAGCAACAGGAGUCACAACCAAGAUCGUACCCAUAACCGCAUCAGGUCUCCAAGGUGAGUAGCCUCUAGUCAAUAGACCAAAGUAGGUAAGGGAAUUCGGCAAAUUAGAUCCGUAACUUCGGGAUAAGGAUUGGCUCUGAUUGUUAUGUGUACGGUUAUUGCUGCGGACGUGCGCAGUGAGGUACCUAGAAGCUGAGAAAAUACCGAGCGGUACAUAUACACAAAACGGUGGUGUUCUAGAGAGUUUGCUGUCGUGUGCCCCACAAACCAGCUUCUCGUUGGUGCUAGGAUGUACAUUCAGGUAUUGUCGCACGUCUCGCGUUAUUGGCGCGAGAGAUGAUGCUGUGGACGAGCACAGCAUGGUUGUAAUAGGUAGUUCUAUCUCCUAGGAUAUUUCGGGUAUACUCCGCCCGAUAUUAUAUCAUCACGUGCUUUAUAAACAUUACCUGCUACUGUGCUUCCUUCCAUCUAAAGCCCAUCGCGGGUGUUUCGGGUUUGUUGUAUCGGCUUCGAAAACUAAUAACUGUAUGCACGACUACAUUAGAACUGGCGCGGACAACGGGAGUCCGACUGUUUACUAAAAACGUAGCAUCGUGAUGGUCCCUGCGGAUGUUGACACGAUGUGAAUCCUGCCCAGUGCUCUGAUCGUCAAUCCGGAGAAAUUCAGGUAAGCACGGGUAAACGGCGGGAGUAACUAUGACUCUCUUAAGGUAGCUAAAUGCCUCGUCAUCUAAUUAGUGACGCGCAUGAAUGGAACAACGAGAUUCCCACUGUCCCUACCUACUAUCUAGUGAAACCACAGCCAAGGGAACGGGCUUGGAAAAAACAGCGGGGAAAGAAGACCCUGUUGAGCUUGACUCUAUUCUGGUGCUGAGCGACGUCUUAGGAGGUGUAGCAUAGGUGGGAGCAUAUUGCGAUACUGAAAUACCACUACUCUCGAGAUCGUCUCUCUCACCUCGAUACCGCGAGCAUGAAAAGGGUGUCGUGCGUCACCCCCGUGACAAUGGUACACCCAAAUCACCUCACACCAUAUUCUCGGAAGUGAUACUGUAUAUUUAUCACUGCUCGUGGAUGGUUUGCUCGCACACGAGGGACACCGCUAGAUGGGGAGUUCGGCUGGGGCGGUACAUCCGUUAAAAGACAACGCGGAUGUCCUACGAUCAGCUCACCAAGGACAGAAGCCUCGGGUGGGGUAUAAGGAUAGAAGCUGAUUUGAUGUGGAUCCCCAGUGAGGAUUCACACUGCGAAAGCAUGGCCUAUCGAUCCUUUAGUUCUUCUGGUCGUGAAGCUAGAGGUGUCAGAAAAGUUACCACAGGGAUAACUGGUUCGUGGCAGCCAAGCGUUCAUAGCGACGUUGCUUUUUGAUUCUUCGAUGUCGGCUCUUCCUGUCAUUGUGAAGCAGGAUUCACAAAGCGUUGGAUUGUUCACCCACAAAUAGGGAACGUGAGCUGGGUUUAGACCGUCGUGAGACAGGUUAGUUUUACCCUACUGUUGCUUGAUCAUGUAAUAGCAGUCGAGCUGAGUACGAGAGGAACGGUUCGAUCGGAUACUUGGUACUGCACUCGAUGGAGCCGUCGAUGGUGCGAAGCUACAUCCGCGGGUUAAUGACUGAAUGCCUCUAAAGUCAGAAACCUUGCUAAAAACA
Molecule: ribosomal RNA, 3478 nt
Filed under: Lotharella vacuolata
Lineage: Eukaryota; Cercozoa; Chlorarachniophyceae
Description: eukaryotic LSU rRNA
Rfam family: Eukaryotic large subunit ribosomal RNA
Source: RNAcentral